GGCUAGUGCGGAGAGACACAGCGGAGAUAGCGCGCCUGCUAAAGGCUGCCGCCGCCAACACCUUAGGUGAAUACCGAGCUCCAGGAAGGUCGCUGUGGGUAGGGCAUGUGGGAAACGAGGCCAGGGGGAGAAGGAGGCCUCAACGUGGCCAAAGCACCUUGAUGAUGCGCUCUGUCCCCGGAGGCGCGUUCCACGGCCGCUGCCGGCACCUAGGCAGAGGGAUACGUUCCAGAAACACCUCAGCUUAGCGCGGGGAUGGCCUUCUUGUGCGUGAGUCCCUCUGCACACGGGAACUGUGCGCCCUGGGCACUGCACCUUCCAGUAUGUGGGCCGGAGAGGCGGGGGAUCUUGCCCAGCGGGUCCGACAGGGCAUGGAAGGAAGUAAAUGGAAGCCGGUAGGCUGGCUGCUCUAAGUUGAUCUGGUGCCUUGGUCACUCGUGGCUUCUUUCUUCUAUGCCAGCUCUGUCUUCUCUACACUUCCUCUGGAGGAGUAGGCCUUGACACAAUUACAAGAAGUCAGGGACCCUGAACAGAGGGACCAGCUGAAGUCACAGCAGAAGAACAUAAAUUGUGAAGAUUUCAUGGACAUUUAUUAGUUCCCCAAAUUAAUACUUUUAUAAUUUCUUAUGCCUGUCUUUACUGCAAUCUCUGAACAUAAAUUGUGAAGAUUUCAUGGACAUUUAUCACUUCCCCAAUCAAUACUCUUAUAAUUUCCUAUGCCUGUCUUUAAUCUCUUAAUCCCAUCAUCUUCCUAAACUGAGGAUGUAUGUCGCCUCAGGACCCUGUGAUGAUUGCAUUAUCUGCACAAGUUGUUUGUAAAGCGUGUGUGUUUGAACAAUAUGAAAUCUGGGCACCUUGAAAGGAACAGGAUAACAGUGAUUUUCAGAGAACAAGGGAGAUAACCAUAAGGUCUGACUGCCUGCAGGACCGGGCAGAACAGAGUCGUAUUUCUCUUCUUACAGAAAGCGAAUAGGAGAAAUAUUGCGAAUUCUUUUCUCAGCAAGGAAUAGCCCUGGGAAAGGAAAGCAUUCCCAGGGGGAGGUCUCUAAAAUGGCUGCUCUGGGAGUGUCUGUCUUAUGUGGUUGAAGAUAAGGGAUGAAAUACACCCUGGUCUCCUGCAGCGCCCUCAGGCUUGCUAGGAUUAGGAAAUUCCAGCCUGGCGAAUUCUAAUCAGACCAGUUGUCUGCUCUCGAACCCUAUUUCCUGCUAAGAUGUUUAUCAAGACAAUGCGUGCCCAGUGGGACAUGGAACCUCAUCAGUAAUUCUAAUUUCACCCUGGCCCUGUGAUCUCGCUCUGCCCUUCUGCGCUUGUAAUCUUUUAUUGCCUCUUGAAGCAUGUGAUCUGUGUGAUUUACUCCCUGUUCAUACCCCCUUCCCCUUUUCAAAUCCCUAAUAAAAACUUGUUGGUUUUGCGGCUCAAGGGGCAUCACGGAACCUGCCGACAUGUGAUGUCACCCCUGGAGGCCCAGAUGUAGAAUUUC
Molecule: long non-coding RNA, 1481 nt
Organism: Homo sapiens (human)
Lineage: Eukaryota; Metazoa; Chordata; Mammalia; Primates; Hominidae
Source: Ensembl